RNAcentral lists this ribosomal RNA (498 nucleotides) under uncultured bacterium. Its description in RNAcentral is "partial 16S ribosomal RNA". It matches the Rfam family "Bacterial small subunit ribosomal RNA", at positions 28 to 507 of the family's 1533-position model. The record is from RNAcentral.
GACGAACGCUGGCGGCGUGCCUAAUACAUGCAAGUCGAGCGGACGAAUCGAAAGCUUGCUUUUGAUUCGUUAGCGGCGGACGGGUGAGUAACACGUGUGCAACCUGCCCUGUAGACGGGGAUAACACCGAGAAAUCGGUGCUAAUACCGGAUAACACGAAAUGUCGCAUGACGUUUCGUUGAAAGACGGCGCAAGCUGUCGCUACAGGAUGGGCCCGCGGCGCAUUAGCUAGUUGGUGAGGUAACGGCUCACCAAGGCGACGAUGCGUAGCCGACCUGAGAGGGUGAUCGGCCACACUGGGACUGAGACACGGCCCAGACUCCUACGGGAGGCAGCAGUAGGGAAUCUUCCGCAAUGGACGAAAGUCUGACGGAGCAACGCCGCGUGAGCGAAGAAGGCCUUCGGGUCGUAAAGCUCUGUUGUUAGGGAAGAACAAGUAACGCAGUAACUGGCGUUACCGUGACGGUACCUAACGAGAAAGCCACGGCUAACUACGUG